UGGGGAAUUUUGCGCAAUGGGCUAACGCCUGACGCAGCAACGCCGCGUGGAGGAUGAAGGUCUUUGGAUUGUAAACUCCUGUCAGCAGGGAAAAAGCGAAUCGGUUUAAUACGCCGGUGAGUUGAUUGUACCUGCAGAGGAAGCCCCGGCUAACUCUGUGCCAGCAGCCGCGGUAAUACAGAGGGGGCAAGCGUUAUUCGGAAUUAUUGGGCGUAAAGGGCGCGUAGGCGGUCUGGCAAGUGGAAGGUGAAAUCCCUCGGCUCAACUGAGGAACUGCCUUCCAUACUGCUGGACUUGAGUCCGGGAGAGGUGAGUGGAAUUCCCAGUGUAGCGGUGAAAUGCGUAGAUAUUGGGAGGAACACCAGUGGCGAAGGCGGCUCACUGGACCGGAACUGACGCUGAGGCGCGAAAGCGUGGGGAGCAAACAG
Molecule: ribosomal RNA, 428 nt
Filed under: uncultured bacterium
Lineage: Bacteria
Description: bacterial SSU rRNA
Rfam family: Bacterial small subunit ribosomal RNA
Source: RNAcentral